CAAACUGGAGAUGGCGACCGGCGCACGGGUGAGUAACACGUAUCCAACCUGCCGAUAACUCGGGGAUAGCCUUUCGAAAGAAAGAUUAAUACCCGAUGGUAUAAUCAGACCGCAUGGUCUUGUUAUUAAAGAAUUUCGGUUAUCGAUGGGGAUGCGUUCCAUUAGGCAGUUGGUGAGGUAACGGCUCACCAAACCUUCGAUGGAUAGGGGUUCUGAGAGGAAGGUCCCCCACAUUGGAACUGAGACACGGUCCAAACUCCUACGGGAGGCAGCAGUGAGGAAUAUUGGUCAAUGGACGCGAGUCUGAACCAGCCAAGUAGCGUGAAGGAUGACUGCCCUAUGGGUUGUAAACUUCUUUUAUAUGGGAAUAAAGUUUUCCACGUGUGGAAUUUUGUAUGUACCAUAUGAAUAAGGAUCGGCUAACUCCGUGCCAGCAGCCGCGGUAAUACGGAGGAUCCGAGCGUUAUCCGGAUUUAUUGGGUUUAAAGGGAGCGUAGGUGGACAGUUAAGUCAGUUGUGAAAGUUUGCGGCUCAACCGUAAAAUUGCAGUUGAUACUGGCUGUCUUGAGUACAGUAGAGGUGGGCGGAAUUCGUGGUGUAGCGGUGAAAUGCUUAGAUAUCACGAAGAACUCCGAUUGCGAAGGCAGCUCACUGGACUGCAACUGACACUGAUGCUCGAAAGUGUGGGUAUCA
This 693-nucleotide ribosomal RNA is filed under the name uncultured Bacteroidales bacterium. RNAcentral's name for it is "bacterial SSU rRNA". It matches the Rfam family "Bacterial small subunit ribosomal RNA", at positions 77 to 770 of the family's 1533-position model. Lineage: Bacteria; Pseudomonadati; Bacteroidota; Bacteroidia; Bacteroidales. The record is from RNAcentral.